UGGGGAAUAUUGGACAAUGGGCGAAAGCCUGAUCCAGCCAUGCCGCGUGUGUGAAGAAGGUCUUCGGAUUGUAAAGCACUUUAAGUUGGGAGGAGGGGCAUUAACCUAAUACGUUAGUGUUUUGACGUUACCGACAGAAUAAGCACCGGCUAACUCUGUGCCAGCAGCCGCGGUAAUACAGAGGGUGCAAGCGUUAAUCGGAAUUACUGGGCGUAAAGCGCGCGUAGGUGGUUUGUUAAGUUGAAUGUGAAAUCCCCGGGCUCAACCUGGGAACUGCAUCCAAAACUGGCAAGCUAGAGUAUGGUAGAGGGUAGUGGAAUUUCCUGUGUAGCGGUGAAAUGCGUAGAUAUAGGAAGGAACACCAGUAGCGAAGGCGACUACCUGGACUGAUACUGACACUGAGGUGCGAAAGCGUGGGGAGCAAACAG
This 428-nucleotide ribosomal RNA is filed under the name uncultured bacterium. Its description in RNAcentral is "bacterial SSU rRNA". It matches the Rfam family "Bacterial small subunit ribosomal RNA", at positions 355 to 775 of the family's 1533-position model. The record is from RNAcentral.